GGCUAGGUGGCAGAGUGGUUAUGCAGCGGCCUGCAAAGCCGUGUACAUCGGUUCGAUUCCGUUCCUAGCCUCCA
Molecule: transfer RNA, 74 nt
Filed under: Gammaproteobacteria bacterium
Lineage: Bacteria; Pseudomonadati; Pseudomonadota; Gammaproteobacteria
Description: tRNA-Cys
Rfam family: tRNA
About the family: Transfer RNA (tRNA) molecules are approximately 80 nucleotides in length.
Source: RNAcentral